UGUGCAUUCUGUUGCAAGCUUUGGUUCUUUGGAAUAUAAGACGUUUGAAACUAUUGCUUUGCUGAAAACAUCUGACUGCCAGGCUAGGAUGUGACACUUAAGGGACCAGGGAUCAUUUACAUACUGUGGUCUUGCAUUACUGCGAUGAAAUCUUCCACCACUCCCACCACCCACUACAAGAGAUGGAAUUAAUUGAAACUACAGCCUUCAAGAGACAUUUGGAGCAAUACUCUUCCAGUUCUUUCUUCCACAUUUUAUUUGUGGGUACAGCGUCUCCCAGGAUGUAGUGUGCUGUAAUUAUUCUUCCACCCUUUUAUUUUCUGGGAGUUUCUCUAUCUGAAUAGCACAGAAAUAUUAGUGGAUAGGAAGGGAAUAUAAUAUUCUAUCCAUCUGAAAAUUAACACCCAUGUUGAACAGAAUCCCUUUUCAGUUUCCUGUUUACUACAGGGUCCAAAUCUCUGAGCUGAGCUGUGCAGCAGAUAAUAGGAGAAGAAAAAAAGAUACCUGCUCCUCUUUCAAGGACGUGGACUUUUCUGUUUUGUGAAGUGAUACUUGGAUAGGCUACUGGAUAUUUUCUCAUUCUUGACUCAUCAACCUUAUAAUUGGUCUAAGUUUUUCCCAAAUUUGUAGCUCUGGAUUUCCUGUCACUCCUAGUUUUCUGUGUUAAAGUUUUCCAUUUUGAUAUGUAUGAUAUUGACAACUGGGAGAGGCAGUGCCCAGGGGAUGGUAGCCAGAUGCCAUUUUGUACCAGAAGUCUUUUAUUAUCUACAUUUAAUGGUUAUAAAUAAUGAAUGCC
This is a long non-coding RNA of Homo sapiens (human), 796 nucleotides long. Ensembl annotates it as long intergenic non-protein coding RNA 1122. Lineage: Eukaryota; Metazoa; Chordata; Mammalia; Primates; Hominidae. The record is from Ensembl.